AACGAACGCUGGCGGCAUGCCUAACACAUGCAAGUCGAACGAGACCUUCGGGUCUAGUGGCGCACGGGUGCGUAACGCGUGGGAACCUGCCCUUAGGUUCGGAAUAACUCCCCGAAAGGGGUGCUAAUACCGGAUAAUGUCUUCGGACCAAAGAUUUAUCGCCUUUGGAUGGGCCCGCGUUGGAUUAGCUAGUUGGUAGGGUAAAAGCCUACCAAGGCGACGAUCCAUAGCUGGUCUGAGAGGAUGGUCAGCCACACUGGGACUGAGACACGGCGCAGACUCCUACGGGAGGCAGCAGUGGGGAAUAUUGGACAAUGGGCGAAAGCCUGAACCAGCAAUGCCGCGUGAGUGAUGAAGGCCUUAGGGUUGUAAAGCUCUUUUACCCGGGAUGAUAAUGACAGUACCGGGAGAAUAAGCUCCGGCUAACUCCGUG
RNAcentral lists this ribosomal RNA (433 nucleotides) under uncultured bacterium. RNAcentral's name for it is "partial 16S ribosomal RNA". It matches the Rfam family "Bacterial small subunit ribosomal RNA", at positions 29 to 507 of the family's 1533-position model. The record is from RNAcentral.